GACGAACGCUGGCGGCGUGCUUAACACAUGCAAGUCGAACGGAAAGACCCUGCUUUUGUGCGUUGCUCGAGUGGCGCACGGGUGAGUAAAACGUGAGUAACCUCCCCUUGUAUUUGUGAUAACUUCAGGAAACUGGGGCUAAUACCGCAUAGGAUCUCCUGAUGCACGGUGGGGGUUGGUGAGUUUCGGCGGUUGGGGAUGGACUCGCGGCUUAUCAGCUUGUUGGUGGGGUAGUUGCUUACCAAGCCUUUGACGGGUACCCGGCCUGAGAGGGGGACCGGCCACAAUGGGACUGAGAUACGGCCCAGACUCCUACGGGAGGCAGCAGUGGGGAAUAUUGCACAAUGGGCGGAAGUCUGAGGCAGCAACGCCGCGUGCGGGAUGACGGGCUUCGGGUUGUAAACCGAUUUCGCCUGUGACGAAGCGUGAGUGACGGUAAUGGGUAAAGAAGCACCGGCUAACUACGUG
Molecule: ribosomal RNA, 468 nt
Filed under: uncultured bacterium
Lineage: Bacteria
Description: partial 16S ribosomal RNA
Rfam family: Bacterial small subunit ribosomal RNA
Source: RNAcentral